Molecule: ribosomal RNA, 253 nt
Filed under: uncultured bacterium
Lineage: Bacteria
Description: partial 16S ribosomal RNA
Rfam family: Bacterial small subunit ribosomal RNA
Source: RNAcentral
UACGUAGGUGGCGAGCGUUGUCCGGAUUUAUUGGGCGUAAAGGGCGCGCAGGUGGUGCGGUAAGGCUGCCGUGAAAUCUCCCGGCUCAACUGGGAGGGUGCGGUGGCGACUGCCGGACUGGAGGCACUCAGAGGCCGGUGGAAUUCCCGGUGUAGUGGUGAAAUGCGUAGAGAUCGGGAGGAACACCAGUGGCGAAGGCGGCCGGCUGGGGGUGACCUGACGCUGAGGCGCGAAAGCUAGGGGAGCAAACAGG